RNAcentral lists this ribosomal RNA (99 nucleotides) under uncultured bacterium. RNAcentral's name for it is "partial 16S ribosomal RNA". The record is from RNAcentral.
CCCGGACCUUGUACACACCGCCCGUCAAGCCAUGAGAGUCGGGAGGACCUGAAGCCAGUUGCUGCGAGGCGCUGUUUAGGUUAAACCGAUGAUUAGGCU